GACGAACGCUGGCGGCGCGCUUAGCACAUGCAAGUCGAACGGAAAGGCCUGCUUUCCCUUGUGGAUUGCGGGUACUCGAGUGGCGAACGGGUGAGUAACACGUGAGUGAUCUGCCCCCAACUUGGGUAUAAGCCUGGGAAACUGGGUCUAAUUCCCGAUAGGACUGCAGGGUGGUGCCUGUGGUGGAAAACGAUUUUCUAGUGGUUGGGGAUGAGCUCGCGGCCUAUCAGCUUGUUGGUGGGGUAAUGGCCUACCAAGGCGGCGACGGGUAGCCGGCCUGAGAGGGUGGACGGCCACAUUGGGACUGAGAUACGGCCCAGACUCCUACGGGAGGCAGCAGUGGGGAAUAUUGCACAAUGGGCGGAAGCCUGAUGCAGCGACGCCGCGUGGGGGAUGACGGCCUUCGGGUUGUAAACUCCUUCCGACCGCGAGGAAGCCACCUGGUUGGAAGGGUGGUGACGGUAGUGGUAGAAGAAGCACCGGCUAACUACGUG
This 494-nucleotide ribosomal RNA is filed under the name uncultured bacterium. RNAcentral describes it as "partial 16S ribosomal RNA". It matches the Rfam family "Bacterial small subunit ribosomal RNA", at positions 28 to 507 of the family's 1533-position model. The record is from RNAcentral.